Non-coding RNA from Nocardioides sp. JS614, 58 nucleotides. The record is from Rfam. NCBI's taxonomy places the organism in Bacteria, Bacillati, Actinomycetota, Actinomycetes, Propionibacteriales, Nocardioidaceae.
CCGUGCUCACCUUUACGACGGAUCGUCCGGCACGUACCUGCCGGUGAAGGAGUUGUUC